GUCCACGCCAUAAACGAUGAGCGCUAGGUGUCACAGGUUUUGACCCUUGUGGUGCCGUAGCUAACGCAUUAAGCGCUCCGCCUGGGGAGUACGGCCGCAAGGCUAAAACUCAAAGGAAUUGACGGGGGCCCGCACAAGCGGUGGAGCAUGUGGUUUAAUUCGACGCAACGCGAAGAACCUUACCUGGGCUAGAAAGUGCGAGUAGCUGGGCGAAAGCUCGGUUUGCCCUUCGGGAGCUCGCAGUUAGGUGCUGCAUGGCUGUCGU
RNAcentral lists this ribosomal RNA (265 nucleotides) under uncultured bacterium. Its description in RNAcentral is "partial 16S ribosomal RNA". It matches the Rfam family "Bacterial small subunit ribosomal RNA", at positions 793 to 1055 of the family's 1533-position model. The record is from RNAcentral.